GACGAACGCUGGCGGCGUGCUUAACACAUGCAAGUCGAACGGAAAGGCCCUGCUUUUGUGGGGUGCUCGAGUGGCGAACGGGUGAGUAACACGUGAGUAACCUGCCCUUGACUUUGGGAUAACUUCAGGAAACUGGGGCUAAUACCGGAUAGGAGCUCCUGCUGCAUGGUGGGGGUUGGAAAGUUUCGGCGGUUGGGGAUGGACUCGCGGCUUAUCAGCUUGUUGGUGGGGUAGUGGCUUACCAAGGCUUUGACGGGUAGCCGGCCUGAGAGGGUGACCGGCCACAUUGGGACUGAGAUACGGCCCAGACUCCUACGGGAGGCAGCAGUGGGGAAUGUUGCACAAUGGGCGGAAGCCUGAUGCAGCGACGCCGCGUGCGGGAUGACGGCCUUCGGGUUGUAAACCGCUUUCGCCUGUGACGAAGCGUGAGUGACGGUAAUGGGUAAAGAAGCACCGGCUAACUACGUG
Molecule: ribosomal RNA, 468 nt
Filed under: uncultured bacterium
Lineage: Bacteria
Description: partial 16S ribosomal RNA
Rfam family: Bacterial small subunit ribosomal RNA
Source: RNAcentral